AACGAACGCUGGCGGCGUGCCUAACACAUGCAAGUCGAACGUGAAAGGGUUCUUCGGAACCCGAGUAAAGUGGCGCACGGGUGAGUAACGCGUAGAUGAUCUACCCUUUUGUUUGGGAUAACAGAGCGAAAGGCCUGCUAAUACCGAAUACCCUUCAUGUACUGAGGUAUAUGAAGGAAAGGAUGCCUCUGACAUAAGCAUUCGCAGAGGGAUGAGUCUGCGUACCAUUAGCUAGUUGGUGGGGUAAGGGCCUACCAAGGCGACGAUGGUUAACGGGUCUGAGAGGAUGAUCCGUCACACUGGCACUGGAACACGGGCCAGACUCCUACGGGAGGCAGCAGUGAGGAAUAUUGCGCAAUGGGGGAAACCCUGACGCAGCGACGCCGCGUGAGCGAGGAAGGUCUUCGGAUCGUAAAGCUCUGUCAGGUGGGAAGAAGUGUACAGAGUCGAAUAGGCUUUGUAUUUGACGGUACCACCAAAGGAAGCACCGGCUAACUCCGUGCCAGCAGCCGCCGUAA
Molecule: ribosomal RNA, 518 nt
Filed under: uncultured bacterium
Lineage: Bacteria
Description: partial 16S ribosomal RNA
Rfam family: Bacterial small subunit ribosomal RNA
Source: RNAcentral